AACAGGAAAGCCAAAUUCCCACCAAGAAGGAUGGUUUAAGAAAUUAUAGCACAGUCAACCAUGGAUGAAGCCAUUACAAAGAUUGACACAGAGCUUGCCAGUUGAUUUGGAGGGAAUUCAAUGAGCAAAUGUGGAGUGAGAAAGCCAAAAUACAGAAAAGUAUGGAUGGCAUCCCAUUUUUAUAAGGGUUUGCACAGCUUUUAAUUGUAUACAUUAAAGAUAUGUUAUAUAUAAAAAAGAACAUUUUAAUAUAAAUGUGGUAUUAAUCCCAUGGUACAAGCAUUACUCUUUACUUUUAUAUGGGGAAACUGAGGGUCAGUGAGUUCAGUGGCUGCUCAGUCUACACAUCCACACAGCAGCUGCACAGGAGGAGCUGAGUUCCCAGACAUCCCAGCCUUCAUUUCUUUAAGUUCCCCACAUUAUUUAUUCCUGCACCUAUUUUCUUCCUCCUAAAGGGGGAGUAACUUUUCUUAGCAAAAAUGGAAAAGAGCAGUCACUUAUAGGAUUUUCUUCCAUCAGGAGAUAAAUUUCCUAAAACUUCUGAACUCUGGAAAGCACUUUAGUUCUUAACUCAGACCCACAGGGGCUGUGGCCUUCAUGAAAGGGAGUGUUUACAAGAAUAUUAUUAGUAAGAUGACCUCCCCACAACACCAUGGCAGAUAAAAGUAGGGUGAGCUGGAAAUUCUUCACCCGGAGCUUAUGGCUGCCCACCCCUUCUUGGAAUCCUUUGGAAAAUAGGACCCAUGCUUUGUGCUCCAUGUUUCAUGGCGUCAGUUAGCUCUCAGUGACCCUGGAGGUGGUGCGGCCAGCCAGCCAACUCUCCAGGAUGUGUUCUUUUUCCCGUGCAUGAUCUCAGAACCUGAUUAAGUGCGUCCAGAUUGAGGCGCCUGUAGAUGGGAAAGAAAUGCUUCUCAGGGUAGUCAGGCCCUUACAGCUCCAGUUCUUCUUUUCCUUGACUGUGAACUCUCUCCCCAGCCUAACCUUCACCUGGACUAUAAGUAUAAAAUGUAGGGCUUCUUUUUUUCCUUCUGACUUUCCUCCCCAGUAUUCUUGACCUGCAAACAUGAAGCUAAGGUCUGAGGCUGCUCUUC
This 1091-nucleotide long non-coding RNA is filed under the name Homo sapiens (human). RNAcentral describes it as "HSALNT0194088". Lineage: Eukaryota; Metazoa; Chordata; Mammalia; Primates; Hominidae. The record is from RNAcentral.